Molecule: long non-coding RNA, 2411 nt
Organism: Brassica napus (rape)
Lineage: Eukaryota; Viridiplantae; Streptophyta; Magnoliopsida; Brassicales; Brassicaceae
Exons: 3
Source: RefSeq, a predicted model, not a curated record
GAAUAUAAUAUGAACGAAUAUUACAAAUACAUCAUUUAAUAAAAUAAAUAAUUAAAAACUGAAAAUUCAUAUCCGCGCUGGCCCGCGGACCAGGGUCUAGUUAUACCAUUACGUCGCUUGUUUGACUUCCACCAGCCCAUUAGAGCAUGUUUAUCGGCGUAGGAGGGUUGUUUAGCUAAAUUAUACAAUUAAAAUAAAAGGAAAAUAGACAAUUAAGCAAAGGACGUCGUCUAAUUCGGAUCUCGAAGGCACGUUGCUUAGUGGGUACGUGGCACAAUCAGGUUGGCUGGAGGAGCAGUGUCGUUUUUCGUUUUUUUCCUUUUUCUUCUCUCGGUGGCGAAACAGCGGACACCUCGACGACUCCUCGACGCCAUGAAGCCGCUCUGCAUCUCGAGAUUGGAGACCAUGGUUGGUUGUUUCUCCCCUCUCCGAUGCUCCAAUCAUCAAUCCCCAACGUCUCAGCUCUCCUCCACCGCACAGUCCCUGAAUCAUCGGCGUCGUCAGCUCUCCUCCACCUCAGUUUCGGCAUCGUCAGUUCAUCUCCGUCGUGCUGCUCAUCGUUGGAAUCAAGUUCGCCGUCGCAUUCGAAAGACUCGUGAAACAUCAGUGGCUACUUUUGGCUAUUUUGCACAUCCAGUCCUCAUAGUUUGGUUCUUUUCUUUUUGACCCCAACUCAACUUUAAUAUUUAAAAAUUCACUAAGCACCCACUAAGGGAUUGCACCAAUAAACAUGCGAUGUUUAUUAAAGACUAACAUGAUCCAUGAGGAUUCUCUUUUGUGCUGAACACAUGAAUCUGUUCCUAUAUAAUAUACAUUAUGGUUUAUCCUGGUGGUUGAAUACAAAACUGAUAUGCGUACGUCAUGCCUUUUGCGCUAUCAAACAAUAAUAAUUAGAGUGAGAUAUAAGUCUUAACGUUGCUUUUAUAGUUCGACACUUCUACUAUUACUGUAUAAUAUAUAGCGAACCCACGUUCAAGCCAAACAAUGGGAUCCAUGACUAUAUAUCUUAUAGCUUUGCUGUUGUGAGCAUUGAGCAAGCACGACCUGAAUUCCAAACAGAAAACAAUAACUUAAAUGGGAACUGUAUCUACAGCAGGGUAAUACGACCAUUUGUAGGGACAUAAUUCUUCCUAAUAACAGAUUCCCUUCGCAACCUCACCACAACAGAUUUCCUUUCGCUCCCAUUUAUGAAAUAUUUUUUGACUGCUAAGACGAAAAACUAUAAUAAAUAAGAUAUCUAUCUAUAAUAAUAAAACAAAUUUGUCUCUCUCCUCGUGCGUCUACGUCACCAGGAAGAAGAGGGCGAAUUACGACACGUGGCAGCUCCAUAUAUUAACUUACGAAUUGUUUGUUUCUUUUGUUUCGUGGGCCUAUCGUGUUUCUGCUAUAUUGUUCAGGCCCAAUGUCUAUAGGGUUGCAGGUUGCAUCAUCUUAGUAAAUCGACAAACAAACUCUGCCGCCGCUUCCCUUCUCUUCAGGUAACCUCCGAAGACAACCAAGCCGGCACCGGCUUAGCUAUUAUAUAAUGAUGUUGUCCCAAUCCUUUGAUAAGCAGAAACCACAUCAGAUGACUGAGCAGGUGAGCAUCGAAACAAACUUUUUGUUAUUCUAUUAUUUGUUGUACACUUUGAGUCUGGUUUGCUGGUCUUGAUUUUAUGUUUGGAUUGGAUGUUAAUUACCCAUGUUUUGUUGUACCCUUUUUUGGAAAUGGAUUACACCAAAGAUGAUGGGGCUGGCCACAAAAACUUAUGUGUAUCAUUGGUCAAUUGAAGGUUUGUAUUUGUAUCUUUUACAUACUGUCAUCUUCUCAAUAUCAUGUAUAUGUAGUUUGUCAAUCUGUUUAACCAGGGGAUCUUGAAGAUCAUCAACCACCAUACCUUCGUCAAUUGGAGUUACAAUACAGAGACAGAUUCUAUUGAUUGCUUGAACUUCCUCCUUCUUCUUUAUUAAUUUCAAUUAGCUGAUGAGUUUUUAUUGUUUUGUUCCUUGUCAUAGAGUAGUUGUGGACAUGUGCGUUAGGAGGUGGUGACUGUGAGAGAUCGACUGGAGAAGAAAGAGCAAGAUCCAGGAUUUUCGAGUCUGAGUAAGAGGAGACGAGGCCAGAGAUUCACGCCAAAGAACAAGAUAGACAAACUACAAGGAAAUAAAGCUUCCCAAAUUCUUUUUAAGCUGUUCAUUGGUGCAUUUGAGUGAGAUCCUAAGACCCUUGGGAGCAAUGCAAAUGCAGAGUCAAAGUUUGGGUGACAAGUAUUGAACACACAUGAAUUAUCAAGAAGAGAAGUCAUAUAAUAAAUCAAAUUCCAUUUUUUCUGUUUUGUUUAAAAGUUUUUGAUUUUUUGUUAUAUAUUAGGCCGAGUAAAUUUAUGAAUAUCAUUGUAACUUCAGGUUGUAGGAAUAUAUUUAAUUUCCUU